UAAUUUAUAUUUUAAUUAAGAUUAUUAGAAAUUUAUUUUUUAGUUAUGAUUGGGGUGAUUUUUAUAGAUUACCAGUCUUUAAAAUUUUUUAAUAAAAAAGUUCCAUUAGUAGUGAUUCUGUGAUAAAAAUACUCUAGGGAUAACAGCGUUAUUAUUUUGGAUAGGUCAUAUAGAUAAAAUAGUUUGCGACCUCGAUGUUGGAUUAGGAUUCUUUUAUGAUGAAGAAGUUAUAAGGGAGAAGUUUGCUCAACUUUUAAAGACCUACUUGAUCUGAGUUCAGACCGGG
Molecule: ribosomal RNA, 286 nt
Filed under: Ornithodoros coriaceus
Lineage: Eukaryota; Metazoa; Arthropoda; Arachnida; Ixodida; Argasidae
Description: partial 16S ribosomal RNA
Rfam family: Bacterial large subunit ribosomal RNA (bases 139-286)
Source: RNAcentral